AAGAUACAUAGACAAAGACUCAUACGGAAUUCGGCUAAACCAUCAAAGCUGUUAGAAGGAAGAAGAAGCUUGGUAGUG
RNAcentral lists this small RNA (78 nucleotides) under Arabidopsis thaliana (thale cress). RNAcentral's name for it is "ATSL269730". Lineage: Eukaryota; Viridiplantae; Streptophyta; Magnoliopsida; Brassicales; Brassicaceae. The record is from RNAcentral.